AUGAGGUAUAUUACUCUGUGUUGUUAGGUAUGAGGUUUUACUCUGUGUUGUUAGGUAUAAGGUAUUACUCUGUGUUGUUAGGUAUGAGGUUUUACUCUGUGUUGUUAGGUAUAAGGUAUUACUCUGUGUUGUUAGGUAUGAGGUAUUACUCUGUGUUGUUAUAGGUAUGAGGUUUUACUCUGUGUUGUUAGGUAUGAGGUUUUACUGUGUUGUUAGGUAUGAGGUAUAUUACUCUGUGUUAGGUAUGAGGUAUUACUCUGUGUUGUUAGGUAUGAGGUUUUACUCUGUGUUGUUAGGUAUGAGGUUUUACUGUGUUGUUAGGUAUGAGGUAUAUUACUCUGUGUUGUUAGGUAUGAGGUUUUACUCUGUGUUGUUAGGUAUGAGGUUUUACUCUGUGUUGUUAGGUAUGAGGUUUUACUGUGUUGUUAGGUAUGAGGUAUAUUACUCUGUGUUGUUAGGUAUGAGGUAUAUUACUCUGUGUUGUUAGGUAUGAGGUUUUACUCUGUGUUGUUAGGUAUGAGGUUUUACUCUGUGUUGUUUGGUAUAAGGUAUUACUCUGUGUUGUUAGGUAUGAGGUUUUACUCUUUGUUGUUAGGUAUAAGGUAUUACUUUGUGUUGUUAGGUAUGAGGUAUUACUCUGUGUUGUUAGGUUUGAGGUUUUACUCUGUGUUGUUAUAGGUAUGAGGUUUUACUCUGUGUUGUUAGGUAUGAUGUUUUACUGUGUUGUUAGGUAUGAGGUAUAUUACUCUGUGUUGUUAGGUAUGAGGUUUUACUCUGUGUUGUUAGGUAUGAGGUAUUACUCUGUGUUGUAAUGUAUGAGGUUUUACUCUUUGUUGUUAGGUAUGAGGUUUUACUCUUUGUUGUUAGGUAUAAGGUAUUACUCUGUGUUGUUAGGUAUAAGGUAUUACUCUGUGUUGUUAGGUAUGAGGUUUAACUCUUUGUUGUUAGGUAUGAGGUUUUACUCUGUGUUGUUAGGUAUGAGGUAUUACUCUGUGUUGUAAUGUAUGAGGUUUUACUCUUUGUUGUUAUGUACGAGGUUUUACUCUUUG
Molecule: long non-coding RNA, 1049 nt
Organism: Mytilus californianus (California mussel)
Lineage: Eukaryota; Metazoa; Mollusca; Bivalvia; Mytilida; Mytilidae
Exons: 3
Source: RefSeq, a predicted model, not a curated record